This is a non-coding RNA of Physcomitrium patens, 858 nucleotides long. NCBI's taxonomy places the organism in Eukaryota, Viridiplantae, Streptophyta, Bryopsida, Funariales, Funariaceae. The record is from RefSeq and is a predicted model, not a curated record.
UAAAUGGGAAGGAGUUGCUCAUGUUGAUAAUACUGUUCCCUUACUGAUGCUACCUGUUCAUGUUACGAACAGACAGAAGGACUGGACUAUGAAUUGUCCAGUUCAUGACCUUCCCUCUACGCAGCAACACACAUGCGGCGGCAAGUGAUGUGAUUCCCAGUCAUUCGGCGCUUCAAAGUACGGUACUUUUGACCAGAUUUUUGUCAUCUUCCCACAUCAAUUGGUGGAUCAACAGUCUUCACAAAGGCAUGAUCAUGUUUCCAGCAUUACUGUUUCCAGCAUCCAUGAAAUGCCGAACAUUUUGAAGCUAUGAGGACGAGAUGGACUUUACAAAUCAUAAGUAUCAAAUUACUAGUCAAUGAGCGUACACUAUGCCCAAGAUGGAAGCAGCCAGCUGAGCCGUUCCUUGCAGUAUACGAUCGACCAUUCAGAUUGCAGACUUCGGUGCCAUCAGCUUGCCUGCUUGUACAGCUCCGUAAAACUUGCGGAUUCUGUUAAGCUGGAGUCUUUUCUUGGGUGGCAGGUUGUGACUCGAUGCUUCACAGUGUUCCUGGUUUUAUUUUUUUAUUUUUUUACAUAACUACAGAAGCUUAUGUGAUUCCCUGGUGAAUGCUUUUGCAUGCAUUUGCAUUAAGCGUCGCAGUCUGAGGCAACAUCCGUUUCAGUAAACUACUCAGAACUAGAAAAAUACUUUCAGUUACAAACAGAUUUAGAGGAACAUGGUAUUAUCUGAAUGAGAUUUAGAGUAGAGAUUAGAAAAUACCCUUGUUAUGCUCUUUUUCAAUAAUUGGGCACCUCACUCCAGACGUUAUCACUUGAGCUCAACAAUUCUUUAUUAAUAAAAACAGUGUAAUCUGA